Molecule: ribosomal RNA, 510 nt
Filed under: Agrobacterium tumefaciens
Lineage: Bacteria; Pseudomonadati; Pseudomonadota; Alphaproteobacteria; Hyphomicrobiales; Rhizobiaceae
Description: bacterial SSU rRNA
Rfam family: Bacterial small subunit ribosomal RNA
Source: RNAcentral
AGGCUUAACACAUGCAAGUGGAACGCCCCGCAAGGGGAGUUGGCAGACGGGUGAGUGAACGCGUGGGGAACAUGACCCUUUCCUGCGGAAUAGCUCCGGGAAACUGGAAUUAAUACCGCAUACGCCCUACGGGGGAAAGAUUUAUCGGGGAAGGAUUGGCCCGCGUUGGAUUAGCUAGUUGGUGGGGUAAAGGCCUACCAAGGCGACGAUCCAUAGCUGGUCUGAGAGGAUGAUCAGCCACAUNGGGACUGAGACACGGCCCAAACUCCUACGGGAGGCAGCAGUGGGGAAUAUUGGACAAUGGGCGCAAGCCUGAUCCAGCCAUGCCGCGUGAGUGAUGAAGGCCUUAGGGUNGUAAAGCUCUUUCACCGGAGAAGAUAAUGACGGUAUCCGGAGAAGAAGCCCCGGCUAACUUCGUGCCAGCAGCCGCGGUAAUACGAAGGGGGCUAGCGUUGUNCGGAAUUACUGGGCGUAAAGCGCACGUAGGCGGAUAUUUAAGUCAGGGGUGAA